RNAcentral lists this ribosomal RNA (775 nucleotides) under uncultured bacterium. RNAcentral's name for it is "bacterial SSU rRNA". It matches the Rfam family "Bacterial small subunit ribosomal RNA", at positions 8 to 796 of the family's 1533-position model. The record is from RNAcentral.
AGAGUUUGAUCAUGGCUCAGAACGAACGCUGGCGGCGUGGAUCAGACAUGCAAGUCGAACGGGGUUAAUCUGGUAGCAAUAUUGGGUUAAUCUAGUGGCGAACGGGUGCGUAACACGUGACCAACCUGCCUAGAAGUGGGGGAUAGCUCGCCGAAAGGCGAAUUAAUACCGCAUGUGAUCGUAAGAUUAAAGCAGCAAUGCGCUUUUAGAGGGGGCCGCGGCCUAUCAGCUAGUUGGUGAGGUAAAGGCUUACCAAGGCAGCGACGGGUAGCUGGUCUGAGAGGACGACCAGCCACACUGGAACUGAGACACGGUCCAGACACCUACGGGUGGCAGCAGUCGAGAAUUUUUCUCAAUGGGGGAAACCCUGAAGGAGCGACGCCGCGUGGAGGAUGAAGGCUUUCGGGUUGUAAACUCCUGUCAUCUGGGAACAAAACUCGCAAGAGCUUGAUAGUACCAGAAGAGGAAGAGACGGCUAACUCUGUGCCAGCAGCCGCGGUAAUACAGAGGUCUCAAGCGUUGUUCGGAUUCAUUGGGCGUAAAGGGCGCGUAGGCGGUGGGGUAAGUCUGGUGUGAAAUCUCGGAGCUCAACUCCGAAAUUGCACUGGAUACUGCUCUGCUAGAGGGCUGGAGAGGAGAUCGGAAUUCACGGUGUAGCAGUGAAAUGCGUAGAUAUCGUGAGGAAGACCAGUGGCGAAGGCGGAUCUCUGGACAGCUCCUGACGCUGAGGCGCGAAGGCUAGGGGAGCAAACGGGAUUAGAUACCCCAGUAGUCC